GUGCCUAAUACAUGCAAGUCGAACGCACUGACGUCGACAGAAGGUGCUUGCACUGGAAGUUGAUUGACGUGAGUGGCGGACGGGUGAGUAACACGUGGGUAACCUGCCCUUAAGCGGGGGAUAACAUUUGGAAACAGAUGCUAAUACCGCAUAAAAGUUGAGAUCACAUGGUCUUAAUUUGAAAGACGGCCUUUGGCUGUCACUUAAGGAUGGACCCGCGGCGUAUUAGCUAGUUGGUGAGAUAAUAGCCCACCAAGGCGACGAUACGUAGCCGACCUGAGAGGGUAAUCGGCCACAUUGGGACUGAGACACGGCCCAAACUCCUACGGGAGGCAGCAGUAGGGAAUCUUCCACAAUGGACGAAAGUCUGAUGGAGCAACGCCGCGUGAGUGAAGAAGGUUUUCGGAUCGUAAAACUCUGUUGUUGGAGAAGAACAGGGACUAGAGUAACUGUUAGUCCUUUGACGGUAUCCAACCAGAAAGCCACGGCUAACUACGUGCCAGCAGCCGCGGUAAUACGUAGGUGGCAAGCGUUGUCCGGAUUUAUUGGGCGUAAAGCGAGCGCAGGCGGUUUCUUAAGUCUGAUGUGAAAGCCUUCGGCUUAACCGAAGAAGUGCAUCAGAUACUGGGAAACUUGAGUGCAGAAGAGGAAAGUGGAACUCCAUGUGUAGCGGUGAAAUGCGUAGAUAUAUGGAAGAACACCAGUGGCGAAGGCGGCUUUCUGGUCUGUAACUGACGCUGAGGCUCGAAAGUAUGGGGAGCGAACAGGAUUAGAUACCCUGGUAGUCCAUACCGUAAACGAUGAAUGCUAAGUGUUGGAGGGUUUCCGCCCUUCAGUGCUGCAGCUAACGCAUUAAGCAUUCCGCCUGGGGAGUACGACCGCAAGGUUGAAACUCAAAGGAAUUGACGGGGGCCCGCACAAGCGGUGGAGCAUGUGGUUUAAUUCGAAGCUACGCGAAGAACCUUACCAGGUCUUGACAUCUAGCGCCAAUCCUAGAGAUAGGACGUUCCCUUCGGGGACGCUAAGACAGGUGGUGCAUGGUUGUCGUCAGCUCGUGUCGUGAGAUGUUGGGUUAAGUCCCGCAACGAGCGCAACCCUUAUGAUUAGUUGCCAGCAUUUAGUUGGGC
Molecule: ribosomal RNA, 1127 nt
Filed under: uncultured bacterium
Lineage: Bacteria
Description: bacterial SSU rRNA
Rfam family: Bacterial small subunit ribosomal RNA
Source: RNAcentral